Molecule: long non-coding RNA, 1318 nt
Organism: Macrobrachium nipponense
Lineage: Eukaryota; Metazoa; Arthropoda; Malacostraca; Decapoda; Palaemonidae
Exons: 3
Source: RefSeq, a predicted model, not a curated record
AGAAAAUAUUCCUGUCAAUCAGUUUCUCUGUGUAGUUCGUGGUGUGUUGAAGUGUCGAGUCUAAAGAGGUAGGAGGGACUCUGGGUCAGUUCUGGAAACUUUUCUAAAUUGGAGCGAGGAGUUUCAGAGACAUGCUUCUAUAAAAGGAAGUUUAAUUCGAUGUGACGGCUUGGUUCUGAAUGCUGCAAUAGUGAGGUUUGAUAGCUAUUCUUUACUUUUAACUCUGGCCAUGAAGGAUCAUUCUUCAGGAUUUCUACUACUUGGAAUUUGUGACAAAUUAUAAAGGCUAGUGUCCCUCGUGUUGACGGGGAUUUGGUUGGGCAUCUUGCAAAUGAUCUACUAACUAAGUUUCUCUGGACUUUCACUAGACUAUAUACUGUCAUUCAGAGGUUAAUUUUCUAAAACUGUAGCGUUUGGAAAUAUUAGUUACAUACUUGCACUUAACGCUACAAAUUUAUAACUAGAUUACUGUACCAAAAUUAUUUCUCUACAAACUUUUUUAUAAUAAACCAGUAUUACUCUUAUUGCUUAGCAUCGUUUAAGUGUAGUAUUUUAAGUCUCUUUUACGGGGUCACUUACAAAUUUGAUUAUCUUGGUUCUCAUAGAUACUCUCAUAGAUUUUGUAUUUCUUAGCAUCCUACUAGUGUAUGUCUUAUUUACUAAGUUUUUUAAAUAUAUGUACUUUGAAAAACCAGAUUUUGUCGAAAUCUGGCGUGCAAAAUUAAAUCUGGCGUGCAAAAUGCCGUUUUAAUCUUAAAAUAUUCUCCUUAAUAGAAAUUAGUUCAAAAAGUGUGUAAUCAUGUACUAUUGUCACAAAUUUGACUGAAGAUUGUCACAACUCUUCAAGUUUAUUCACUAUUGUAUUUAUUUUCUAUACAGAUUUUUAUAAAUUAAUAACUAAUUACUUUCUAAUCAGUCGUUUAGUAGUUAUUUUAAUGGCACUUACUACAUUACCUGAAGACUUAAUAAAAAUAAAAUUUAAAGUGUGACAAUAUCUAAAACUAGUAUAAUUAAGUGUGAGUUGAGGAGAGAAUUAAGACUGCCUAGUUUAAGUAUGGAUGUUCUAAAUAUUCUAAAUAGUUCCAGAGGGAUUGCAUUGAAAGGAAAGUCUGUCAAAAGGCAGUAAGCCAAAAAAUCUAAUCCUAUGCAGAAACUGAGCUAGGUAAGACCUUUAGUGUAUCUCUGAAGUAUUUUAAAACCGUUAGUUAUUAACGGUUAACAUUUGAAGCUAGGCAGUGCUAGUUGGUAGUAGCUUUCCUUACGGGUGACAAAGGCAACAGUUUUUACUUCAAGUUGAAAACUACAGUAAUGUAUGAAC